UAGGGAAUCUUCCGCAAUGGACGGAAGUCUGACGGAGCAACGCCGCGUGAGUGAAGAAGGUUUUCGGAUCGUAAAACUCUGUUGUAAGGGAAGAACAAGUACAGUAGUAACUGGCUGUACCUUGACGGUACCUUAUUAGAAAGCCACGGCUAACUACGUG
Molecule: ribosomal RNA, 160 nt
Filed under: Bacillus sp. Na-2
Lineage: Bacteria; Bacillati; Bacillota; Bacilli; Caryophanales; Bacillaceae
Description: partial 16S rRNA
Rfam family: Bacterial small subunit ribosomal RNA
Source: RNAcentral